UACGGAGGGGGCUAGCGUUGUUCGGAAUUACUGGGCGUAAAGAGUGUGUAGGCGGUGCUCUAAGUUUGUCGUGAAAUCUCCCGGCUUAACUGGGAGGGUGCGGCGAAAACUGGAGUGCUAGAGGGUGGGAGAGGAAAGCGGAAUUCCUGGUGUAGCGGUGAAAUGCGUAGAUAUCAGGAGGAACACCUGCGGUGUAGACAGCUUUCUGGACCACUUCUGACGCUGAGACACAAAAGCGUGGGUAGCAAACAGG
RNAcentral lists this ribosomal RNA (253 nucleotides) under uncultured bacterium. RNAcentral's name for it is "partial 16S ribosomal RNA". It matches the Rfam family "Bacterial small subunit ribosomal RNA", at positions 524 to 776 of the family's 1533-position model. The record is from RNAcentral.